UACGGAAGGCAGCAGUGGGGAAUAUUGCACAAUGGGCGCAAGCCUGAUGCAGCCAUGCCGCGUGUAUGAAGAAGGCCUUCGGGUUGUAAAGUACUUUCAGUCGUGAGGAAGGUGUUAAGGUUAAUAACCUUAGCAAUUGACGUUAGCGACAGAAGAAGCACCGGCUAACUCCGUGCCAGCAGCCGCGGUAAUACGGAGGGUGCGAGCGUUAAUCGGAAUUACUGGGCGUAAAGGGCACGCAGGCGGUUAAUUAAGUUGGAUGUGAAAUCCCCGGGCUUAACCUGGGAAUGGCAUUCAAGACUGGUUAGCUAGAGUCUUGUAGAGGGGGUAGAAUUCCAUGUGUAGCGGUGAAAUGCGUAGAGAUGUGGAGGAAUACCGGUGGCUAAGGCGGCCCCUGGGACAAAGACUGACGCUCAUGUGCGAAAGCGUGGGGAGCAAACAGGAUUAGAUACC
RNAcentral lists this ribosomal RNA (453 nucleotides) under uncultured bacterium. RNAcentral's name for it is "bacterial SSU rRNA". It matches the Rfam family "Bacterial small subunit ribosomal RNA", at positions 340 to 786 of the family's 1533-position model. The record is from RNAcentral.